AUGUAUGUAUGUAUGUAUGGAUCCUGUAGAUAAAGAUGUAUUUCCAGAUUAAUUAUUUCACGUUAAACGUGCAUAGAGAAAAGAAUUCAACUAGAUUGGCCGGCCGGCUCAGACGCAGUUGAGUUUAUUUGAUAUGGGAUUUAACACCUUUAUAUUUUGCAAUUGUUUGACUUUGUGUUAACAUGACCUAAUCAGUUUAUUUUUAUAUUUUCUAUUUGGAAAUGUCAAGCAUUCAAACAUAUACAUCUUUAUAUAUGAUCAUUUGGUUUGAAUUUAAAAUUUUCAUAAACUUCCAAAUUGAUCUGAAGGGACGUGGUGGGAAAUAAUGAAUCUGAAGGGAUAUAAAUGCAAAUAAUGUCAUUCAUUUCUUUCAUAAUUGACUAGAUGGUUCUCUAUAUCUUGGUUAUAGAAAUAACUUGAAGCUUGAGAAAAUUGGCAGUUCUUAUUCUCUCUGUGUUACCUGUAUUAGUUAUCAAAAUGGUACAGUUUGUCUUGUAAUAGAAUUGCAUCUAGAUGCGGAGGCAUCGUUGUGAAGCCAACAGUGACGAUGAAGUUGUGGAACUAACUGAGGUGGAAGUCCUGUGGAACAAAUCCGACAAGUAAUUCCCCAAGUCAUCUGGUGAAUAUCUUACCAACAACUCCAAAUUUUUCUCCCCACUCUGCAUUACCAUGUAUGUGUCAUAAAAUUCUUGAUAUCUUGGUACCAGUUUCUCAAUUGAAACCUUUAAGUCAUCCCUCAAUUUCCUAUCCUCUACAAUCCAUGAUGUCUGUUUCCUGUAUGCCUCUUCAAACGCUGCGUUGAACAUUUUAAAGCAUUCCCUUGCCAUUUCCGGAGAUGUUUCUGAUGACUUCUCUGGUAAUGAUGAUAACACCUUUGUCCAGGCUGUGGAUUCGUAGUUUGAAGCGUACAGUUUAAACUUCUUCGUGUGUUCAGUGACCCAAUCUUCACCGAGGAGGAGUUUCAGGUUCGGUGUUUGCUGCACCUUCUCAACAAUGAAUUGAAGAUUGUUGGCAAGGAAGAGAUAUGACAGAGACGCAUCUUUAUAAAUUUCAGCUUUCGUGUCGAGCUUGCACAUAAGGACUAGAAUGAGCCAAGCUAGGUGGACUGACACUGCUGGUGUUGAACCGUCAUCUGCCAUUGGGCUCUUGAAGUGAGAUACUUGAUUCUUCGGUGGUGGAUAGUCAGCAAGGAUAUCAGAGAGAGCUCCAUGGUGGUCUGCUAAUGAAGAUACUAAAUUCAUCACUGAUUGUGUCAACGGGUGAAUCCUGCCACCAGAGGCUAGAAAUUUUGAUGAAUCCUUUUGAAUGGUUGAUUCAAAGACAGAAAGACUAGACUGGACAGAAUCUGAAAGUUUGAGCCACGAUGCCAGAGCUUGUAGUUUUAUUGCUUGGGUUGAUGCAGAGGUAAAUAUUGAUUCAAUCUCUGGCCAAAGAUUGGAGAAUACUUCGUAGAGUUCCAGUUGCCAGAAAAUUCUUUCCCGGCACUUCUUGUUCUUCACUAUGAGUUCCGGAAAUCUGAAUAGGGUGGUUGCUCCUCCUUUUGUUAUCUCAUAGAAGCAUGAGUCUGCGAUUGUCUCAGAUGCUGAAAACACAUGAUCACAGAGAACUUUUUCUCCAUGAAAUAGUGCUUUCACAGCAAUCUUCGCAGCAUCCAUCCAGUUCAUGAUUAUGUUUUCUAGUCCUUCCGAAUCCAUUUUAUGGAUUUGGGAAGACUUGAACUGUUGGAUUCCAAGGCGAUACAAUCCCUCAUCUACUAUUGACUUUCGGAUAACUUUGUAUAUCUUCACACACUCAUGACCAUAGCCGGAACUGAUCAUACAAUCUGCUAUGGACUUCAGAUCCGCCAUGGCGAGAGCCGAGACCCUCUCCACCUCAGUGAUCGACCCACCAACAAUUUCCAACUCUUCUGAUCCACCCUCGUCUUCACCAUUAAAUGUGCAUGAUCCGAUUGAGGUUCGACUUGAAACUGAUUCAGGGUCAAGGUGACGCCGGUUUGCAGACAAUAUCUCAUAAAACUCCCUUUCAAGCCUUUUCAUAGCUGUUUGCAUUAGGUUUUGAGCAAGCACGAGCUUGCUGGAUGGAGAGCUUUCAUGAACCAAAACAUGCAUAGCACUACGCAAGUCCUUUACGGAUUUGAGAAGCUGUUUGGCCUCUUUUCUGCUACUCUGGAAGAUAGACGUGAGUUUGGUGUAUGAGGAGGAGUUUGGAUCCCAUUUCGUGAUGAUGAAUUCAGCUGUUUCGAUGUUUUCCUCCAUCAUCGAAAGAGACAAGGUCGGGGAAGGUUUUGGACCGGUGGAAGUGCUUGAAGGUGUGUAAGAAGAAUGGUUUUUGACAUGCGAGAAGGAAAAGAGGCAUGACAUUCCUUUCCUUGGUGUGAGUGUAGUACUACCACUCUUCAGGUACUCGGAGAGCAUCAUUGAGCUGGGAAUGGUGUCGAGAGAGAGAGAAAGAGAGAGAGUUGAGCCGGGAAUGGUGUUGAAAGAGAGGGAGAGAGAGAGAGAGAGAGAGAGAGAGAGAGAGAGUUGAUUUUAUGGUUGUGGUUUUUGGUUCUGGAAGGGUUUUAUAGAGGAGAGCCGUCCGGUUUCCAGUUGAGGGAGGUGGAUUUGCUUAUUUGCUUGGAACCUUACUAUUUGACUGACUCUGGAUCUGAUUUUUCAAUAUAAUUAAUCAAGCAAUUUUUGCAUCAUAUUUUUAGUUUUUUUAAUUUUAAAUAUAUCAUGUUCAAUGAAUCAUAUGGUCAAGCUGCAUGCAUUCUUCUAGUUAGUCAAAUUUAAAUCCCUUUGCUUGUAUCCAAAUAUAUAGAGAUUUCGCUUUCUGUUGAAUAAUUUGAUUUAGUAGUCAAAUUGUGAAUCUGAAUUUGCUGAUUGAGUGAUAUUUUCAAUGAGCGAUCGUCUAAUUAGCAAUUUGAACUAGUAUCUGGCUUGCUCCAAAAUGCAACUGAUCGAUAUUGUUAAUUUUAGAUGAAGGUGGAGUUGUGGUCCUUUUGGAAGAGAAAAGAGCUAGGGUUGGUUCCACAACAACCGGGAAGCAACCUGGAAAGAGCGGGGUUUGAUUAGUUAAAACCAUUUUUCAAGUUUCCAGUUCGUCCAAACAAGAACCAAACUAAUUAUGACUGACUUGAUAAACUAGUGUUUACUUCUAAUGUCAUCAUUCUUCACGCGACUCAUAAAUGGACGCUUUUAGAAAGAUACCUUGCUCACCAAAAUGUUAAGAUAAAUGUUAAAAAUGGAUGAUCUGUGUAGCUAUCGGUGUGACUGUUAAUCGUUUAAUAUAUGUGAAUUCCACUUGAAUUUACUUUAGAGUUUGUUAACCAACACUCUCUCAUAGAAGUGGAUUCUUUUUUAUUUAUUUAUUUUAUGAAUAAACGAUAUUUUCUAUACUAAGGGAAUGGGAUGGGUUUAGGCUAGUAAUAAUGUGGUUCAAACCCGCAUUGGGCGAUAAUCGAACCUAAAACCUCUUCAUUACAAACGAAAAGGAAUACCACUAGAUCGUAAUAUUAAGUGGCCAUAGAAUUUGAUUCUUAAAAUAAGAAAAUAACAAAUACUUAUUUGAAAUAUAUUCCCAAAGACGGUGCAUCUUAACCAUAAAAAAAAUGUUCCUCACUAUUCCGACAAGUUCUCAAUUACGUAGAUAGGUAAGCUUAUCAAUUAUCGAUGGUGAAAGGCUAAUUAGAAUUUGUCAAAGGUAUGCACCCAUAAAUCAAAUAAUAAUUAUUAUGUGCACCUACAUUUGACUUGCAUGCAUGAUCUCUGAUCAACGGCUGAAAAUAUGAGAGAGAACCAGUCUCUGGGCUGCCACCAUUGUUAAUUAAACUUCGUUUAUAAUUAAGCAAUAAUGUUUACCAAAGCUGGCAAUGGGGUUGAUAAGAUAGAGGAUAUCAUCAGCGUGGAUUGGAGAGCUAGUUAGAUCUCCACGUACAAAUGCACGUGUAAUGGUAUGAAUUAACGAUAAGAUUGAUUUUUCAUAAAUUUUUGUGUUAUAAGUUAUAACACAAAUUAGAUUAAUAGCAUCACGUGACGUUAUUGACGAUAAUCAUAACCAAAGUCUAAAAUAUCGAUGAUAUCAGAAAUCGGUAGUCUAAAAACAUGGAAAUUUCGAUGGAAAUAUCGAGAUAUUAUCGAUAUCGAUAAAAAUUGAAUAAAAACCACGGAAAUUGUAAGAAAAACUUGGAAAUUUUUAUUGAAACUUUGCAUGAUGUUUAUUUAGUCAAUUAUCUAUUAGUUUAUCGCAAAAAAUUGGAAGGAAAUGCAUUGCAUGAUUGAUUUAACUGAUUUAAGUUGAUUAUAUAGCGAGCUGACAAACAUUGUGAGUGUAGAAAAUAUGUAGUAAUUAAUGAAAGAAGUUUAAACACACCAUAAUCAUUUAUAUAUAAUGAAUUAGUACAAUAUUUUACACUUUAUACAUUGCAUGGUAAGAUACAUGAGUAACUUAGUACCACAUAGAGUUCCUAUGAGAUUCAAAAUGUUCACUAUCUUCAUCAUCUCUAUGUGUAUAGUAAGUGUAUUUUAGCAUAUUUUCACAAAAACAUAAGUGAUAUGGUGGUCAAGGUGUUGAAUGAGUAAAAUGGGAGGGGUUCGAAUUUCCUUGGUGUUUUUUUAAAUAUAGAAAUUUAUCGUAGAUAAUAAAUAUUAACUUGCAAGCCUUGCAGACAUCUUAACAACCAUAUAAAUAUUAUAGGCUGAAUAUGUAAUCACAAACACAUAUGUAGUGAGUUGGAUAAGGCCCAUGUGCGUGGUUGGCAAAGGGAGGGGUUCGGAUUCCUCUAUGCGCAAGAUUGAGACUUUUCAGCAUUUUUCAAAUAUUUUUGGGUUUCAUCUCGCAAUAUUAUCGAUAAUAUUCUAAAAAACGCUAAGCGUUAGUCGGGCCCUAAGCGGAUUUACGUAAAAUUACUAUAUAUGUUAUAAAAUAUGAGUAUAUUUGUAAUAUUUUAGGGUUUUUUAUGUUGAUUUUGUAACAUUUACUUAGCUUACAUAUUUAAUUCAUUAUUGGACUUUGCUUUUUUUUAUUUAUUCAAAUAUUGGUCUUUGCCCUUCAAUUAAUAACAGCCUUGUUUUCUUAUAAAAAAUAAAUUUAUUCUAUAAUGCUACAGAUGAGGUAAAGAAAAGCAUUGUUUACUUAUUUCUACAGAUCUCUACCCACUUUAAUAUCUUAUCAGCCGGUGACCCUUUACACACAAACCCAGAAAAUCUCUCUCUCUCUCUAGUUUUACCAGAAACCUCUAGCAAGGCCAGAUUCAGAUGCAGAUGCAAGUUGUGAUGCAGGUGCGUCUGCGAGUCUGAUGCAAGUGCGUUUGGUGCAGAUGUUGCUGCGAGAGUUGGAGUUGCAGAUCCUAAUUCUUUAAUCUCUUUCCCUUACUCCAAAACCCAGAAUCGCCCUCUCUUUUUCGUCCCAAAGCCCAUCUGGGUCCAAAAGCCAGAGCUUUUGUUUUUCGACGAAAAUGGCGGUGGCAACGCAGGAGCGGGAGGAAACAGCGGGGGAUGGAGCCGGGGCGGAGAUGGGAACUCCGACGACUCGUCUUCGUCGUCGUCGUUAGUUUCGGGAUUCGGAGUUCUGGGUAAGUUUCUCAAUAGGUGGAGAUCCCGAGUCGCCGCCGAUCCGCAGUUCCUCUUCAAGGUUCUAAUGGAGGAGGUGGUCGGAGUCAGCUCCUGCGUCCUCGGUGACAUGGCUUCCCGGCCCCAAUUUCGGCCUCAACGAGCUCGACUUUGUCUUCUCGACUUUCGUCGUCGGAUGCAUACUCAAUAUCGCAAUAUUAUCGAUAAUAUCGCGACAUAUUGACGAUAAUUAAUUGGAUACGUAUGAAAAUAUCGUCCUCUCACAAAAACGAUAUUAUCGGCGAAAUAUCGUCGAUAAUAUCGAUAUUUUAUACAUUGAUCAUAACAGAAGACUUCUCCUUCUUGUUACCAUUUUCUGCUUAAGCAUCUGGUACAUAUAUUAAUAUUGCACCAUUACUCUCAUUCAAUUAUAUUCUAUAAUUCUAUAACAAGCCUAUUAGAGAAACUUACAUCUAACGAGUUUACCGUCAUAUGACGUUCUGGUCUAAUGAUGCAUUGUUAUGUAUUAGUUAUUUUCAAAUUAUAGACCUAAUUCCUUUGUACCGAAAUAGGGCCGGUCAUAUGACUUUGUAUAAAAAAAAAUUAUUUGUUUUCACACGUAAGAUGUCGAUAAAAUUAUACUUAGAAAAUCACUUCAAACUUAAUAAUUUAGAAACACAAAAAAACUAAUUUAUUUUGUAUUGUGAGAAUUAAACGAAAAAUCUCCAGGUUUACAAGUAGAUAUGAGUUUUGUUUUCCAUCUUAACUUUUAAAAUGUUUUUGCAUAAAUCGUGAGCUGUUUUUUCUUAUUUACUAACCUUGUCAAUAUGAGAGUAAAAAAAUAAUGAUGUUUUUGAGUCUUUAUUGAUAUGUAUAAGUAAUAAAUGGGUACUAAAUUAAACUUUUUAAUGACACGUCAUAUGAUUUGCAAUUUGAAAAAAAUUGGUCAACGCAUUACUCUUUGUUAAAGAUUAGACUUGAAUUGGAACAAAUAAGGAUAGGCAAAUACCUAUUGGAUAUGGGUAACCAUGGUUACCCGCCCAUUUAAAUUAAACGGUUACGGUUAUGGGUAACCGUUUAGAUAACUAAACGGUUAUAGGUAUAACUGCUUACCCGCGAAAUUUAAAUAGGCGGUUAUGGGUAUUAACCACGGUUAUAAACGGGUAACCGUUUACCCAUUUGUUUUAUAUAUGUAAAAUUAACACAAACCAUGCUCUCGAUCUAAUAAUACUUAGCGCCCAAUAAAUUAGCAAGGAAUUCAUCGGUCAUUCUCUCAAUAACACUGCUACAGGAAUGAUGAUUCUCAUCAUCAAGGAAUUCGCCAAAUUAAUUUAAAUUCUUUGCGGGUAACCGUGAGAUUGACAGAAAUGCUUUAAUAGAAAUGUCUUCUAAACAAUUUUUGUAACCCAAUAAUACUUAGCAAAUAUUAUAUUUACCUUCAUUGGUAACAGUUAAAAAUAUCGUCCGUAAACUAUUAUUUCAAUUAUUGGAAUAAUAUAAGAACUUAAAAAAUUAAAAUAUGGAAAUGUAUGAUGAAUGUACCUAUAACGGUGCUUUAACAAUUAAAAAUAUCGUCCGUAAACUAUUAUUGCAAUUAUUGGAAUGGUAUAAGGACUUAAAAAUUUAAAAUACGGAAAUAUAUGAUGAAUGUACCUAUAACGGUGUUUAAUUGUCAAAACAAAAAAAAUUUUGACAAUAUUUUUUUUUAAUUUUCAAGUUAUUAAAAAAAUGUAGACGGGUGAAAAAGGGGUAAUGGUAAAAAAAAAAGAAAGAAAAACGGGUUAAAAGGGGUAAAUGGAUAAACGGGUAUUAAACGGUUACGGUUAAAUGUGUAUGCGGCUAUGGGUAUGGUUAAUCGUUUAUAAACGGUUAUGGGUAUAGUUAUAACCGUUUAGGCAAUUACCCAAUGGGUAAACAGUUAUGCGGGUAUGAGCAUAAACGGUUAUGGGUAAAUAAUCGCAGUUACUUGCCCGCCAUAACCAUUGCCCAUCCCUAGGAACAAAUGUUUAAAAAUAACAACCCACAUAGCUAAUAACUACUAAUUAAAAUUAAAUUAUCAACCAAACAAAAAUUCGUAAAAAUUGAAAAGAAUAAACAUGGACUUAACAUUUCGAACUUAGGACCUCUCGUUAAUUUUAAACAACAAAAACCAUUGAUUUUAAUUAAACUUCUUGAUCAUUUAGCCAAAUUGUAUAAAUUUAUAUUCUUAUGAAAAGAAAUUUGUAAAAAUUGAAAGGUAAAUAAGCACCUAUGAUGUUUUAAACCCAAGAUCUCCUCAUUAAUUUCAAACAACAAAACCACUAGUUCUAGUUACAUUUCUUUGUCAUUGAACCAAAUUUUAUAAAUUUAUACUCUUAUGAAAACAUAUAUAAAUAUACCACCCUAAUAAUUGGUGCCCCUAAUUUUUUUGAAUCCUGGACGGUCGCCCUGAAAGAACUGGGUCUGGCCGGCCCUGACCGAAAUAAGAAUAUAGACCUACGUGGACUGACUCCCACGCAGGCAGGCAGAUCGCAUAUAUUUUAGAUGUGCAAAUCUCGAAUAACGAACCUGUCACUAUAUACAAGUAUAGUGUCUUCUCAAAUAAACCAAAUAAGGGAGUUCAUGAAGAUCUCCUCGUUAGAUUCAUUCCUUGCAACUUUCAAGUCCUUGUUCUACCACCAGAUAUCCACUCGUUUCUCUUUUAUUCAACUACUAUCAUCUAUAAGAUUUGAAUUCAUCACGUCCUCUAAUAUAAAGUGGAAACUGAAUUUCGCUAGCCUAAAUUUGAUCUGCAAAACCCAAUUAGUUGGAAGUAAGUAUUAAUUAUUCACAAAUUUUAUACACAUGCUGAAGUGAAAAGAGAAUGGUGACAAAAAUGACUAAUGGUGCGACUCAGAUUCUAUAGUUCGAGUAUCACAGUGAUUAAGCUUUGAUACAGUUCACGGAUCAUUACUACAUUCAAACAUGAAAAGACCAAGUAGGUCACAAGGAUUCUUGAUUAAGGUAAGUAAUUAGCAGAGAAUGAGAGGAGGAGACAGUUUUAAAUUGGAUCAUGGUUCCAACCAAGCAUGCAAAUUAACUCAGAAAAUUUACUGGGUCGCAACAGCGACUAAUUCAAAUACUAAUCAGAAGCACAUAUUUUAAUCAGAAGCGCCAAUUUUUGUUUUUGCCAUUUAUGUCAAUUAGAUGCUUGGGAAUCAUGGUGGGGUUUUGUUUCUGAACAAAAUUGAAUAUGGGGUUAGAAGAGAUGAGAGAAUUUGUAGACCGCAAACGUGAGUUAGGCUAGUUGAUUAGGGCGGUCCACCCACCGAGCACGAAUUUCGAAUCGCCCUUGCCUAUUGGACUAGUUUUAGAUAUUCUUUUUUCUUGUAAAAAAAAAAAAAAAAAAAGGACUGAAAAAAAAAAAAAGGACUGAAAUUUUGAGAGCAAUACUAGCAUUUUUAGCUCUUUAUUGCUUUAAGAAGAUGGAACAAAAUGAAACCAUUCUUGUAAGUUAGAUGCCCAUUUGGUGCAAGGAUCUGUAAUCAAGUAGCAUAUGGCUGGAUGAGGGACCAGAUAGGCUGGAUUCCAUACUCCUAAGUAAUGCAUCUGUUUUUUUGCUUCUUACUAUUAGGUUUCGUUCGGGGCGGCUUAAGUAGGAAGCAAUUAUGUUCAUAAGUGCUUUUGUAGAAGUAUAUUUUUAUUUUAAAAAAUUGAAUUUUUAUGGAAGUGCUUCUUGAAGAAACAUCUAACAGUUACUUCUCCAUAAGGGCUUCUACGACCUAGAAACACUUCAAUAUUUUUGUAAAAUACAGUUGGAAGUGUUUUUGGUUGUUAGAACAUGCUUAUUGCCCUUUAAAAAGCAGUCUCAAACAUACCUCAAUCUUUCAGAAUACUUAUCAAAAACUAAAAAUUGGAAUGUACAUUUAUAAACAGCUUAUUUUGAAUUUUGAUUGAUAGAAAAAUAAGAUUUGGCAAUAUCAAUAUGACAUUUUUGAAAAAACGGGUUGAGGGUGGAAACAAAAAGAUAGUUUUUGACAUUUUUGCUUUGUCUCCUUACUGGAUGGAAUGUUUUCCGUAUUGCAUCGAUGAGUGGAAUGUAUGUUUUGGUGUUUAGAUGAUGGUCCAGGCUCACUUCGUGAAGGAUGCCGAAAACAAUAACCACUCUGGAUUGUCUUUGAGGUUUCUGGCACCAUUCACCUUUCAUCUUACUUGAGCGUGUCGUCUUAUAAGACAAUUGAUGGACGAGGUCAAAGGAUAAAGCUCACGGGAAAGGGACUUAGGCUGAAGGAAUGUGAGCAUAUAAUUGUAUGCAACCUCGAGUUUGAAGGUGGUAGAGGACAUGAUGUUGAUGGCAUUCAGAUUAAACCGAACUCUAGGCACAUAUGGAUAGACCGAUGCAGCCUUCGUGAUUAUGAUGAUGGACUCAUAGAUAUCACCAGACAAAGUACAGACAUAACUAUCUCUAGGUGGGUUUAAACUUAUGCCCUAUAAUACGAUAUAAAUUUGGAUACUGAUAUAACCUAUCUGAUAGUUUCUCCUUCCCUUUGAACCAGAUGUUACUUUGCACAACAUGACAAGACGAUGCUUAUUGGAGCGGACCCCUCGCACGUUGGUGACAGAUGCAUUCGGGUGACAAUCCAUCAUUGUUUUUUUGAUGGAACAAGGCAAAGACAACCUCGUCUUAGAUUUGGGAAAGUUCAUCUUUACUACAAUUACACUCGAAACUGGGGUAUAUAUGCCGUUUGCGCCAGCGUAGAAUCCCAGGUUAAUGAAACUUCGUAACUAUCUCCUUGAUCUUUAGAAUCUAUCUGAACUGCAUUAUCUAAUUAAGUUGUUUAUAUCAGAUAUACUCUCAAUGCAACAUUUAUGAAGCAGGGAAUAAGAAAAAAACCAUUGAAUAUUAUACAGAAAAGGUGUUAGUGUUUUUGACAAUGGAAGAAGGAGGAAUGCACUAAGAAUGUAAAUGGCUGCUAUUUAUUAACAGAGAGGAAGAAAAGAAUAGCUUGUGAAAAACUAGAGAAAAGAAGAAGCUAAAGAGAAUGAUGAACUCUUCAAUAUAUGUUUUGGGAGAUGAAAAGAUCAACCCAAAUGCCUUACACAUUUCGUUUAUGUAGAGAAAACUAAUAGUUACAAAAGUACAAUACUACCCUUCUCAUAUUCUUUAUCUUUCUAACAACCCAAUCCUACUUAACAAACUUACAACUGUAUAACCGACUAUUUCAACUGUAUAACCAACUAACCAACUACUAUGGUUAUUACUCCCCCCUCAAACUAAGCAUGGGGCAAUCGAGCUUAGUUUGCUGCACAAUUGGUGACAAUCCCAAACCAAGAAACCGGCAAUGCUUCAAGAAAACAGGACUAUGUAAUCCCUUGGUGAAUACAUCAGCAACCUGAUCAUCUGUUGGAAUAUAAUGAACACUGAUGUCACCUUUUUGUACCUUUUCUCGAACAAAAUGGUAAUCUGUAUCAAGGUGUUUGAUCUUAGAAUGAAACACCGGAUUAGAACUUAAGGCAAGGGCUGACAGAUUAUCACAGUGAAGAGCAGGAGGACUAGGAAGAAACUGAUGAAUAUCUUUGAACACAGAUCGAAUCCAUGACACAUCAGCUGCACAGUGUGCCAAAGCUUUGUACUCAGCUUCAGUAGAACUUCUGGAUACUGUAGAUUGCUUCUUGGAUUGCCAGGAAACAGGAUUAGAGCCAAUAUAAACCAGAAAACCUGAAAUUGAUCUUCUAGUAGUAAUAUCUGCAGCCCAAUCAGAGUCUGAAUAGGCAGUGAUGUGGAAAUUGUCACUUUUAGUAUAGCAUAAACCAUAGCUGAUGGUUCCCUGAAUAUAUCGAAGGAUUCUUUUGACCAGAUGAAAAUGUGCAUCAGUUGGUGCUGUCAUAAAUUGACACACCAUAUUCACUGAAUAAGCAAGAUCAGGCCUUGUAAAAGUCAAAUACUGAAGGGCACCAUCAAUACUUCGAUAUUGACUUGGAUCAGAUAACAAUGUACCUUCACCAGCAAGAAUCUAUGUGUGUGGCUUGGAAGCAGUAGACGUGGGCUUACAGGACUCCAUGCCUGCCUUUUUCAACAAGUCUGCUGCAUACUUGGAUUGGUUAAUAAACAGAGACCCAUCAUCAUUGUAAUGAAUAUGCAAACCCAAGAAAUAGCUCAAUCGGCCCAUAUCUUUAAGAUCAAACACUUCUGCCAAGUUGUCGAUUAUGCCUUGUACCUUUAUGGAAUUGGAACCAGUAAGGAUGAUAUCAUCCACAUACAACAGCAACAAAAUAAUAUCUUCAUUAUCAGUCUUGACAAAUAGACUUGAAUCAGAAAGAGAAGGUGUAAACCCAAGGGCUGGAAGAUAGCUUGUAAACUUGGAAUUCCAAGCCCGAGGAGCCUGUUUUAAACCAUAGAGAGAUUUCACUAAUUUGCAAACAUGAGUCGGAUUCUCCUGAUCAACAAAACCUUGGGGUUGCUGCAUAUAAACCUCUUCUUCUAACUCACCAUGUAAAAAUGCAUUUUUUACGUCCAAUUGGCGCAAAGACCAACCAAACUGAGCAGCAAGUGCAAGUAUAAUCCUGACUAUAGUAUGUCUAACAACAGGACUAAAAGUUUCAGAGUAGUCAAGACCAUGUUCCUGUGUAAAUCCCUGGGCAACCAAUCGGGCCUUGAAUCUGGAAAUAGACCCAUCUGGAUUCUUCUUGAUCUUAUAAACCCACUUACUACCAACUAUCAUUCGAUGUGAUGGAAGUGGAACUAAAAUCCAAGUCCCCUGAGCUUUGAGAGCGUCAAAUUCCUCCUGCAUGGUAGUCUGCCAUUCUUUCUUACUGGCAGCACCUUUGAACGUUUUUGGUUCUUCAUGAUCAGAGACAUGAGCCAGAAAUGAGAAACCAGCUUGAUAUGGAUGUAAACAUUGAUUAUCAGAAUUACAAUCCAGUAGUUGUAAAGAAAACAACUCAUGUAGGAAGGCCAGAUAGUUAGAAUAACUUUGCCUCGUGAUUGUACCUGUUUGUAACCGAGUCUGCAUCCCAUGGGAACGUAUCGGAACAUUAUCUGAUGCACUAGAUGAAGAGAAAGCAUCAAAAGGUAGAACUACCUGUAACUGUGCAGGAUUAACGACAGGAAGCAAGGGAAGUGUAUCAGUGUGAAAGGAAAUAGUAAAGCCUGUUGUUGAUGCCGAUUCAAUUGCCUGAGAAUCUGAGACAACGGCAGUAUCAUUGUGUGAGAUAGAUGGAGACUGAUGUCGACUUACAUUGACCUCAGCUGAACUAGAAUCUUGUGCAAGCACUUAAGACUCAUGAAUUGGACUAUUGACAUGCUCUCUGUGAUAUAAAGAAACUGGUAUAAUCACUGGUGUACAUCUCUGGGAAUCAUGACUUUGGACCCCAACUGACUGAACUGCCUUAGGUAAUUUCCCAGGAAAACAUGAUUCAUCAAACACAACAUGUCAAGAUAUAAUACACUUCCGAGAAUAGCCCAAAAAUAUACACAUAGCAGAUCUGGCUUGCAAUUUAUUUGUAGCAUAUGGCCUUAACCAAGGAAACACAGUUGAUCCGAAAAUCUUGAUUGAGUGUACAUCAGGGAUUUUCCUAUAUAGCAUUUGAUACGGAGAGGACAAAGAAAGAAACUUACAUGGCAUUCUGUUAAUCAAGAAGACAGAGUGUGCACAUGCAAAAUACCAAAACUCAGAAGUUAAACCAGCAGCAUUGAGAAGUGUGAUUGCAGUUUCAACUAUAUGGCGAUGUUUCCUUUCUGCCACUCCAUUAUGUUGUGGAGUAUAUGGACAAGAAAUGAAUGGACUUAUACCCUUGCUAGCUAGAAAAUCAGUAAAAGCUUUACUAACAUACUCUAUUCCACCAUCUGUUUGCAAACCUUUAAUGUGCACCCCAAACUUAGUAAGGACAAAAUUAUAAAAUUGCACAAAGAUUUGAAACACAUCUGAUUUAUUACUCAUCGGAAAAAUCCACACAUAUCUGGUAUAUUCAUCAAUUAGAGUUACAUAGUACCUAUAACCUUAUAAGGACUUCACAGGAUAAGGACCCCAAACAUCCGAGUGUAUUUUUUCAAAUGGAGAAGUACAAGUAACUGAUCUAAUUGGAAAUGGAGUUCUAGACAUUUUCCCUUGAAUACAAGACACACAAACACUAGACUUACUAUCUCUAUCAGCCACAAUAUUCGACUUUUGUAACAUACAAUUCAUGAUUUCAGGAGUAGGAUGCCCUAAUCUCUGAUGCCAUGUAUCACAUUUGAUAGCUUUACCCACAUACUCAACUGGACUACUUGUAAUAGACUGUACUCCUCUCUGCCUUUGCACAAUCAGAAUCUGGAACAAUUCUUCAGGCUUACUCUUUCCUUGAUACACUAUUUCCCUUGUCUUCUUGUCCUGCACAAAGAAUUCAGAUUCAUCACAUAUAAACCAGCUCUUAUUGUCAGCACAGAGUUGUUUCACAGAUAAAAGACUUCGCGCAAUAUGUGGAACAUGUAAUACUUUGUUGAGAAUAAGAGAGUGAUUGUUAGUUUGUAAAGUAGUGGACCCAAUAUUUUGGAUUGAUAGAUCAGUACCAUUGCCAAUAGUGAUUUUGUCAGAACCCUCAAAAGGUGUGACAUGAUUCAAGGAAUUAACAUCAGCUGUCAUAUGAUGAGAUGCACCGGAAUCAACAAUCCAGGCAUUUUGAGGAAUAAAUGGCGUGGUUUGUUGAGCAUGCAUUGCAGACAAUGAUGAGGGUGGAAGCUGCCCUUGAUAUGAAUAAUUGCUUAUUUGAUAACAAUCAAGUGCUGAAUGUCCUCUCUUGCCACAGAUUUGGCAUUCAACAACAUAGUUGGAAUUAGUAGCAUUGACGUUCCUCUGAUAACAGUUGGCUGCAGUAUGCCCCCUUUUGUUACAAAUUUGACAUUCUAUCACAGCAUUUGUCCUUGUAGAAGUACUCCCAGACCAAGAAUUAUUACAAUUUUGCCGUGAGUUGCUUGAACCAUAUCAUCGUCCCCUGAAAGUGUUAUUAUUCCUGUAAUUAUUGCCUCUGUAUUGACUCCCAUGUGAUGCUCGAGGCCCAAAUUGGGCUCCCACAUUAAGCUGUGCAGCAUGAUUAUUUGGAUCACUAGGAUGACCAAUAAAACCAUAUCCAUACGACUCACCAGGAUACAUAAGAGAUUGUGAUGGUGGAAGAUAUCCUGCUGGAUAUUGUGAAGGAACAGGAUAAACAGGAUAUUGAAAUGGUGGUAAAGGCAAAGACUGAUGUACUGAAUUUUGUGGACCCUGAGAAGUGGAACCAUAUGGCACCGCAGUAAUUGUUCCCGCAGUACUGGCAGGAAUAUGAUUAUGUGCCUGAGAAUUCGAAGAUGAAGCUGAACUUGAACCAGUGCUUAAACUCGAAACUUGAACAUAUAACGCAGACAAAUUCUGACAAAACAUUAAACUCUCCUUCAAUCUCCCUUUCUGCCCCCAAUAGUUGUGCUCUAAAUUCUUUUAAGGAAAUAGACGACUCUCUGGCCAAAAUAACUGUACGAAUAGUCCCAUAUUCCUUUGGCAAACCAGCAAGACCAGUAAUUAUUUAUGUCAUUGUCAGAUACAGAUUCACCUGCAGCAGUGAGUUGAUCCGUAAUACCUUUCAACUUCAAGAGAUACUUAUCAAUUGUAUCAGACCCUUUUUGAAUGGUAUGUAACUCAGUUUUGAGAUGGUUGACUCUAGACUUAGAAACAGAUGCAUAUCUAUCAACCAAAUUGACCCACGCCUCAUGAGCAGUCCUACAACCAAGAACAUACUCCAUCGCAACAUCAGUUAAAGUGGCAAGAAGUAAACUAAGCAACGCCAUAUCUGUAGACUCCCAAUCCAUAAACGCCUCAGUAAUCUCCUUUGUAACCCCAGCUUCUGGAUUAACCACAUACUUUGAUGGACACAUAGUUGUGCCAUCGAAAUGACCAAACAAUUUAUACCCCCUCAAAACAGACUGAAAUUGAAACGCCAAUUUGGCAAAAUUAUCAUCUUUUAGUUUGAUGGUAAGCAUACCUAGUAUUCCAUCGACUUUAAAAGUUGAACUACCCAUGAUUAUCUUUAAACAAUAACAACUAAUGAUCAAUUGAGAUUAUGCACAGAGACUGACACUUUGAGAAGAAAGGAUAACACCUUCUUGAACACACAAAUUCUUGAUUUAGAAGGAAUGACACCUUCUUGAAUGCAUGAAAGAAUGACACUUCCAGCAAAACAACACUUUCUAAUUAUCGUAGCAAAUCAACAUAUACAAAUCAACAAAAGAACCCAACUCUAUCAAAUCAUUACUCUGCUUAAAUGGAAGAAGCUAAAGAAUCAGAAACCACCUGAACCGAAAAGAAAACCAAUCUUGCUUCAAUCGCACACCAAUAAAGCAACGAACAGCCACCAAACCGAACCCCCAAUGAAGCGACGAACAGCGGAGCACACCAGGAUCACAAUCAGUGACUAAUGCACACCGGCGAUGAUACCAUAUUAACAGAGAGGAAGAAAAGAAUAGCUUGUGAAAAACUAGAGAAAAGAAGAAGCUAAAGAGAAUGAUGAACUCUUAAAUAUAUGUUUUGGGAGAUAAAAAGAUCAACCCAAAUGCCUUACACAUUUCGUUUAUGUAGAGAAAACUAACAGUUACAAAAGUACAAUACUACCCUUCUCAUAUUCUUUAUCUUUCUAACAACCCAAUCCUACUUAACAAACUUACAACUGUAUAACCGACUAUUUCAACUGUAUAACCAACUAACCAACUACUAUGGUUAUUACUAUUCUCUCUGCAAGUCGCAGAGGAACCUUUUUGUAAAAUUAUAUAUAUGUUUCUCUCUCUUUUCACACACAACGUGAAAAGGAAUAAUUCAGUUAACAAAGCCUGGCUGGAUCUUUCCUUCUAGUUAAAAUGAUCACAGCCACUCAUCUAGCAAUAGCUAGGAUCAUCACACAUGGCACUCAUGGCCUUACAUAUUUUGAUCUUAUACUUGGCAAUUUCUAAGCACAAGUGGAUACACAAUUAAAGACAAGAUUAUUCUCAAAUACUAAUCAGCUCAUGGCUUAUAGUUGAACACUCCCCUUUAAGCUUUGAGCUGAUUUGACUCCAAGCAAACCUCUGAGAUAGCUGAAUCGAUCCUUAGCCAAAGGUUUUGUGAAGAUAUCGGCUAACUGCUCUUUUGUAGGACAGUAAACUAGAUCAAUGAUUCCUUAUUGCAGAGCAUCUUUGAUAAAAUGGUAUCUUCGAUCAAUAUGUUUAGUCUUCUGAUGAAACACCGGAUUCUUUGUGAUAGCAAUUGCAGAUGUGUUGUCACACUGCAAUGGAGUGGCUUCAGUUUGAAGUUCCCCAAAAUCUUCCAGUACAAACCUAAGCCAGAUUGCUUGUGCAGUCGCCUCUGAAGCACUAAUAUAUUCUGCCUCAGCAGUUGAAAGUGCUACACAUGUUUGUUUAACUGAUGCCCAAGAGAAAAUCCCACUGCUAAAAGAGAAGGCAUAUCCUGAAGUGCUCUUACUAUCAUCCACUGAUCCUCCCCAGUCACUGUCACAGAAACCAAUCACCAUAGAGUUUGUACCUUUCGCAUACUCCAGACCAUAGUCUAAUGUUCAUUUAAUGUAUCUGAGAACCCUUUUGGCAGUUCUAUAGUGUUUGUUUGUGGGAGAAUGCAUGAACCUGGAAAGUAGACUUGCUGCAUACAUUAUGUCUGGUCUUGUAGCUGUAAGAUACAGUAAACUCCCCACAAUCUUUCUAUAUUGUUCUUCAUUUGUUGGACCACUUCCAUCAUCCUUACUAAGUUUUUUAGCUGAAAUCAGUGGUGUAGACACAGACUUGCAUUCAUUCAACCCAAAUUUAUUCAACAAGGAAGAGGCAUACUUCUUUUGGUGAAUAAAUAUGCUGAAAUUAGUUUGAAUGACUCCCAUUCCUAGAAAAUGGUGAAGUAGACCCAAAUCAAUCAUCUCAUAUUUCAUCAUCAUGUCCUCUUUGAAUUUUUCCAACAUUUCUUUGCUACUACCUGUGUAGACAAUAUCAUCUACAUAGAUAGACACAAUUAUGAUAUCCUUUUCUCCCCUUGACUUGAUGUACAAUGUUGGUUCACUGAGACUCUUUUGAAAACCACACUGGGAGAAGUAUGCAUCAAUUUCUCCAUACCAGGCUCUAGGUGCCUGUUUCAGUCCAUAAAGAGCUUUAUGAAGCCUAUACACUUUAUCUUCCUUGCCUUGCACUGUGAAUCCUUCUGGUUGGUCUACAUAUACUUCUUCCUGUAGUACUCCAUUUAGGAAGGCAGAUUUAACAUCAAGUUGAUACAACCUCCAGCUCUUUUGAGCAGCUAAUGCAAUGAGGGUUCUGAUAGUGUCCAGUCUAGCCACUGGAGCAUAGGUUUCGUUAUAGUCGAAACCAGGUUUCUGAGCAUAACCUUUGGCAACCAACCUUGCCUUAUUCUUCAAGACUGUGCCAUCCAGAUUCAAUUUGGUUUUAUAGACCCAUUUAACCCCAAUAACAGGCUGCAUUGUUGGUCUAUCUACUAAUUCCCAUCUACCAUUCUUUUCAAUCAUGGUCAACUCAUCCUGCAUUGCUCUUAACCAUGAUUCAUCUUGAGCUGCUUCUGCAUAUCUUUCAGGCUCCAUAACACACAGAUUGCAUUGAGCAAAAAUAUCAUCAAGAUUUCUCCAUUUCAGAGGUGUGUGGUCAUAAGCAUCUGAAAGCUUUGCAGAUUUAGGAGUGCAACUUUCUUGUUCUUGUGUAUGAGAAGGAGAACUAGGGUUGAGAGAACUUCCUUCAAUCACACUCAUCUCAUAUGAAUUCACACCAACUACAUUUUCAGGUUGAUCCUGAAUGUAGGUUGCAGCAACUGAACCUUGUGAAUUUUCUUUCCAAUUCCAGGUCAUAGAUUCAUCAAAGACUACAUCUCUUGACAAGAUUAACUUGUUAGUACAUGGAUUAAAUAUUCUGUAUCCCUUCUCACAUGUAGCAUAACCCACAAAUACACCUUUAACACUCUUAGCAUCUAGCUUCUGUCUUGUCUCAGUAGGUACAUGUACAUAGCACAGGGAACCAAAAAUCUUGAGAUGUGCUAUGCCUGGUUUUCUGCCACUAUAAGCUUCAAAAGGAGUUGUAUUUCCAAGUGCCUUUGUAGGACACCUAUUUAGAAUAUAUACAGCUGUGUGUACAGCUUCAGCCCAAAGAACAUAUGGCAUACCUCUAUCAUGAAGCAUAGUUUUUGCCAUUUCAACCACAAUUCGAUUGUUCCUUUCCACCACUCCAUUCUGUUGAGGAGUAUAAGCCAUGGUGAGUUGCCUUUGAAUGCCUUCAAUUUCACAGAACUUAGUGAACUCAGAAGAUAAGAAUUCUCCACCUCUGUCACUCCUUAGACUUUUAACUUUGAAACCACUCUGCAGUUCCACCAUUGACUUGAACCUUUUGAAAUAAUUGAAUGCAUCAGAUUUGUAUCUGAGAAAAUACACCCAAAUCAUUCUUGUACAAUCAUCGAUGAGUAACAUGAAAUAUUUGUUUCUAGCCAAGGAUGCAUUCUGCAUAGGACCACACAAAUCAACAUGAAUAAGUUCCAGGGGAUAGUUUGCUCUCCAGGAUUGUUUCUUUGGAAACCAGUCUCUAUGUUGCUUUCCAAAUUGACAUCCUUGACAUACAUCUUUGAUUUCUUCUAGGUAUGGAAGACCAUGCACCAUAUUUUUCUCACUGAGUUGCUGCAACCCCCUGAAGUUCAAAUGACCUAGUCUUCUGUGCCAAGUCCGAGUAGAGUGAUCUAUGCUCGCUUUCAGAACCAACUGAUUGUCGUGCAACAAAGAAAGAGGAUAGCAACGAUUUUCCUUCUUCUUGACCUUGAUGACAAGAUUGUCAAGUGAAGGUCCAUCAAAUACACUACAUAAACCUCCUCCAAACACUAGAUAAUAUCCAUGCUCAUCCAUUUGACCUACACUCAACAAAUUUUCCUUCAAUCCUAGCAAAUGCAUGACCUCUCUAAUGUACUUCUUCCCUUUAUUAGUAUCAAUUUCCAAUGAGCCCAUUCCAGCAACAUUUACUAACACCCUCGUAGGCAUUUGCACCUUUCCAGCAACAUUUGUUCUUAUAUCAACAAGGAGAUCAGCAUUCCCUGUCAUGUGGUUACUACAACCACUGUCAAUGUACCAAUUUCCAUUGACAUUUUUCUCUGAAAUUGCACUAUUAGCAUAGAACAGAUUCCCUGUCACUUCCACCUGAUUUGCAGAAUUUGCCUUUUGCACAAUCUUCCCUAUAGUGCAUUCUCUAGCCCAAUGACCAAACUUAUCACAGUUAUAACAUUUGGGCUUCCCUUUAUAUCUACAUUCACCAAAAUGGAACUUAGAGCACACUCUACACUGUGGUUUGGUACUCUCUUGACCCAUUAACUGUGUCUGGUAUGAAUUGGAUGCAGGGCUAUUGAGAGGUCUCUGUUGAAAUCGAGACUUUGGAUCCCAUUUCUUUCCCUUGGGAUUCCAAUUCUUCUGAAAUUUUGAUGAACCAGAUUGAGCUCCACUCAUAUUCUGCCCUUGUGGACUCACUGAGAAUGAUGCAAAUGCCUUCUCAGUGGUAUCAACAUUAUGUAGAUCAAACCGUUGUUCUUGAUUCUUCAAGAUUGCAACAACUUCCUGCAAUUCUACAGUCUCUAGACACUUUGUAUUUUCUAUAACCAAACAGAUCGAAUCAUAAGGUUUACUUAGGCUUAUUAGAACAUUCUGCACAAGUCUCUCAUUAGAAAGAGAUUCACCAAAUGUUCUCAUCUGAUUAAUUAAGUCAUUCAGCCUUGUGAGAUAACUAGACAAGGAUUCAUCAUCUCGCAUUCUAGCAUACUCAAAUUCUCUUCUAAGAUUUUGAAGUUUUACAGAUCUAACCUGAUUACCACCAUGGUAUUCACCGUACAGUAGAUCCCAUGCCAUCUUGGCUGAGUCAGCGUUUGCAAUCCGAGGAAAGAUCUGAUCAGAGACUGCGUUUUGUAUAAUUCCCAGAGCCUUUGCAUCUCUCAUUAGCACUGCCAUCAUUUCUUCAUCACGAUCGUCUUCCGAUGACCCUUCAGCUUCCUUCUUCUUCUUCUUUGAAUCAGGUGUUGGCAAUCCCUUUUCUACCAGAUUCCAUAACCCAAUGGAUUUGAAGAUUGUUACCAUUUUAAUUCUCCAGAACUCGUAUUUCUCACCGUAGAAGAUUGGAGUUCUCACCUCCGAGCCUCCAGAUCCAGACAUCUUGCAAGCCUUUCGUGAGCUUCGAUUGAGCUCAGUGACCUCACAGAUUUACGCCCAGAUUUUAAAUGGCGCAACCUGGCUCUGAGGCCAUGUUAGUGUUUUUGACAAUGGAAGAAGGAGGAAUGCACUAAGAAUGUAAAUGGCUGCUAUUCUCUCUGCAAGUCGCAGAGGAACCUUUUUGUAAAAUUAUAUAUAUGUUUCUCUCUCUUUUCACACACAACGUGAAAAGGAAUAAUUCAGUUAACAAAGCUUGGCUGGAUCUUUCCUUCUAGUUAAAAUGAUCACAGCCACUCAUCUAGCAAUAGCUAGGAUCAUCGCACAUGACACUCAUGGCCUUACAUAUUUUGAUCUUACACUUGGCAAUUUCUAAGCACAAGUGGAUACACAAUUAAAGACAAGAUUAUUCUCAAAUACUAAUCAGCUCAUGGCUUAUAGUUCAACAAAAGGUACAUGACCAUCUCUCGCUCAUUUUUUUGAUAGUUUGAUAUGAACAAGAAGAACGUAGGUUCAUUAUAUCCACAGUAGCAUUCUAUUCUGAGGCAGGGUACAGUGACAAAAAAGUCACAUGAAACUUUUUAAUUUCAUACCGUCUGGUAUUUAUUUACACUGAAAGGAAUAUAAGCUAUUUGUACAACUUACAUCCCGUUUCUGAGUAGACAUUCUUUUUCAAAUGUAUAUAAUCUUCCAAUAGGCAGCAGACAGAGAAGUGGCAAAGUCCGGCUUCAUAAUAUCCGAGGGCGAUCUAUUCCUCAAUGGAGCUCAACCAUGCACAUUGACAGGGUUCAGUGAAGAAUGCCUGUUCCAUCCAAGUGAAUUUUAUCCACAGUGGACUAUGGAAGCAGCCUCAGAUUCUCUUAAAGCCAUUCUCCAAAUUCUUACUGGCUGGCAAUCCAUUCAUCGGCCAGCAGAGCAGGCGGUAACUGUAUGAUUUUAUGUUAUCACUACAUCUGUAACAGGAUUUUUUAGGUUCUAUAACAGAAUAGUCUUUGAUUAUAUUUUUAAUAAACUCUAGCAGAUUUGCUAUCUGCUGUUGUAAUACUUACGAGUUUGUCAAUUUGACUUAUUAAACCCUGACAAAAGUCAUUCUGUCGUAGCUUAAAGACAGAACCUAUCAAUUAUGAUAAGCACUCCAUAACACACAUGCCAUGUUUGUUCUCAUGUAUGUAUGUAUGGAUCCUGUAGAUAAAGAUGUAUUAUUUCACGUUAAACGUGCAUAGAGAAAAGAAUUCAACUAGAUUGGCCGGCUCAGGCGCAGUUGAGUUUAUUUGAUAUGGGAUUUAACACCUUUAUAUUUUGCAAUUGUUUGACUUUGUGUUAACAUGACCUAAUCAGUUUUAUUUUUAUAUUUUCUAUUUGGAAAUGUUAAGCAUUCAAACAUAUACAUCUUUAUAUAUGAUCAUUUGGUUUGAAUUUAAAAUUUUCAUAAACUUCCAAAUUGAUCUGAAGGGACGUGGUGGGAAAUAAUGAAUCUGAAGGGAU
This 22124-nucleotide long non-coding RNA is filed under the name Malus domestica (apple). Its description in RNAcentral is "long non-coding RNA (MDOM_LNC007026)". Lineage: Eukaryota; Viridiplantae; Streptophyta; Magnoliopsida; Rosales; Rosaceae. The record is from RNAcentral.